GAAGAACCUCAUCAAAUGCUAUUUGCGUCCUGACAUUUCUGUUAUAGAAAGGAAUGGCUACUUCUUAUUCCUAUUCCUUUCUGAUGAUACUCAAGGUUCUCCACAGGUCGGAUUUAGUGUCAAAAUUGGGGGGAAAUCUGGUGCCCAUCAUUCAUGUCAGAAAACUCCCAAUUUCAUCUCAUCAGCUUCAACACCUAACAAAGGAUGGGAAGUGAAGACCUACAGUGCCAUUACCAACAUCAUUUUCUACUUGAAGUCACUCUGGGAAGGAAAUAACAACUCACAUGGCCAUGGAUUUCUUUGCAUUGUACAGAAUGUUGUACUGUGUCUCUCAUUACUGAAAAUGGAGGAUGAUGAUAUGCCCAAGAAAAGCAACUUCCUUGUAGAGCAGCUGAAGCUAUUGCUUCAACAUGAAAAAGCUAAGAAGUAUUCUGCUCAACUACUCAUCACUUCCUCACUCUGGGAGAUGACCUCACCAAAUUUGUAUAGGCAAAUGUUCAGUGAGAAUAUUCUUUCCCUUCCUUCAGUGAGGCACAUUCAGAGGAUUACAAAGGCCUUUAUUAUAGAUACUGGAUUGGAAGCUUCAACUGUGAAGUAUCUUUCCAUGAGGUUAAGUGGACUGAAGGAGAGGGAAUCAUUGAUGAAAUCUACUGCAUUUGCAAAGCCGAGUACUUCAAUGGGAAACUGUAUGAAUAUGAGGAUGGAGCAGGAUGUAGCUCAAAACUUAUGUUGUGUGGAAUGUUGUGCAGCAGGCUGGCUUCCACGUCAUUGCCCACAAUCUUGUCAUCAGCAUCUGCAACAACACGCCCAUGUUGUGUGAUGGCACAGUCGACGUGCGAAUAUUUUAUUAGGGGGCCUCAGUCAAGAUCUCUGCAAUAGUCUCUAAAAGUUUCAAGGAUUGCAUUGAGCUUGGAUUGGUCACAGCCUUCUAUCCCAGGCGGAUUGAGUCAGCCACUCCCGUAACGCCCCUUCCCACCCAAGUGGCGACUGCCCAUCCCAACCCCACCCAGUCAGACAAACCCUUUGACAUGACGGCCACGGCCGCCAAGUCCAACCUCAUUGACACUGAGAUCAGCCAAUUCCAAGGUCGUGGAGAAGUCUGUGAGACAGAACCCAAGAAUUACCCUGCUGAUACCAUGGAGGCCAUUAUGACUUUGGCAAUGUCUAGGUGGACGAGCUUCUGCCUGACGCCUGGCCCAUGCGGGUCUUGCCGGCCACAAUCAUGUUGCGCAAUGACGUUGACAUUAGACCAGAACAAGCAGCCACAACCAGAGCAGUGCUGAUCCACUACCGGGAGGAUGCACUCCAGAUGCUCAGGAACCUCA
Long non-coding RNA from Tigriopus californicus, 1325 nucleotides. RefSeq lists it as uncharacterized. Lineage: Eukaryota; Metazoa; Arthropoda; Copepoda; Harpacticoida; Harpacticidae. The record is from RefSeq and is a predicted model, not a curated record. The transcript has 3 exons.